RNAcentral lists this ribosomal RNA (742 nucleotides) under uncultured bacterium. Its description in RNAcentral is "bacterial SSU rRNA". It matches the Rfam family "Bacterial small subunit ribosomal RNA", at positions 8 to 796 of the family's 1533-position model. The record is from RNAcentral.
AGAGUUUGAUCAUGGCUCAGAACGAACGCUGGCGGCAUGCCUAACACAUGCAAGUCGAACGAGACCUUCGGGUCUAGUGGCGCACGGGUGCGUAACGCGUGGGAAUCUGCCCUUGGGUUCGGGAUAACAGUUGGAAACGACUGCUAAUACCGGAUGAUGACUUCGGUCCAAAGAUUUAUCGCCCAGGGAUGAGCCCGCGUAGGAUUAGCUUGUUGGUGAGGUAAGAGCUCACCAAGGCGACGAUCCUUAGCUGGUCUGAGAGGAUGAUCAGCCACACUGGGACUGAGACACGGCCCAGACUCCUACGGGAGGCAGCAGUGGGGAAUAUUGGACAAUGGGCGAAAGCCUGAUCCAGCAAUGCCGCGUGAGUGAUGAAGGCCUUAGGGUUGUAAAGCUCUUUUACCCGGGAUGAUAAUGACAGUACCGGGAGAAUAAGCCCCGGCUAACUCCGUGCCAGCAGCCGCGGUAAUACGGAGGGGGCUAGCGUUGUUCGGAAUUACUGGGCGUAAAGCGUACGUAGGCGGCUUUGUAAGUUAGAGGUGAAAGCCCAGAGCUCAACUCUGGAAUUGCCCUUAAGACUGCAUCGCUUGAAUCGUGGAGAGGUUAGUGGAAUUCCGAGUGUAGAGGUGAAAUUCGUAGGUAUUCGGAAGAACACCAGUGGCGAAGGCGACUAACUGGACACGUAUUGACGCUGAGGUACGAAAGCGUGGGGAGCAAACAGGAUUAGAUACCCUAGUAGUCC